CAAAACAGAACUUCAUCUUAAAAGAGGCUGCGGUGACCACUGUACGUUAAUGAAGCUCAGUUUUGUCAAUUAAGAUGAUAAAUUAAGUAUUUUUAGUGAGAUUCCACUGUUGUGAGAGAGAGUGCAUGGAUUUUCCACACCUGCUGUGAACAUUUGUAGAUGUGUCAACGCUGGAUGUGAGGAUGGGGCUUAUUUUUCUCUGUGAGCUGGGCCUAUUCUAUGCUGUAUUAACUAUUAAGCCAAGCUCAUCAAUUUUUUUCAUCGGAGAGACUGUUAUUUUCACAUGUGACAUGAAGGAAGGACUACACACCGACUGGAAUUACAAAC
Molecule: long non-coding RNA, 327 nt
Organism: Oreochromis aureus
Lineage: Eukaryota; Metazoa; Chordata; Actinopteri; Cichliformes; Cichlidae
Source: Ensembl